ACUGAUUCAAAGUGUUUUCUAUAGGCAGUUUUAAUAAAUAAUAUUUUUAAAUGUAAAUUACAAGCUCUUCAAUGAGUGUGAGGUGGUGAGCAAAUUUUGUGCUGAAAUAUGUAACAGUAGCACUCUUGCCUUGGAGUGGGGCCUCCAGGAACAAAUCCUGGACAGGUUUUGCUGAGCAUUAGUUCCCUUUGACUUCCAAGGGGCAGUAGUCAGAAGAAGGUUAGUUUUUAUGGGUUUAAAUGAAAAGAUCUGUUAUUAUCAUCAAUCAAGUUUGAGUGCCUUACAUUACUUCAUUACUUUUUUUAAUUUUGAAGGCUCACAAGACGGGCUCACAGGUCCCUGCUCCAGGCUACAGCAGCCAGUGGAAGCACAACACCAGUAUCACAAAGGCAAGCCCUUGGAAUGA
RNAcentral lists this long non-coding RNA (406 nucleotides) under Parus major (Great Tit). Its description in RNAcentral is "lncRNA (ENSPMJG00000013716.1)". Lineage: Eukaryota; Metazoa; Chordata; Aves; Passeriformes; Paridae. The record is from RNAcentral.